This 83-nucleotide transfer RNA is filed under the name Deferribacteraceae bacterium. RNAcentral's name for it is "tRNA-Leu". It matches the Rfam family "tRNA". From Rfam's summary of the family: Transfer RNA (tRNA) molecules are approximately 80 nucleotides in length. Their secondary structure includes four short double-helical elements and three loops (D, anti-codon, and T loops). The record is from RNAcentral. Lineage: Bacteria; Pseudomonadati; Deferribacterota; Deferribacteres; Deferribacterales; Deferribacteraceae.
GCCGAAGUGGUGGAAUUGGUAGACACGCCAUCUUGAGGGGGUGGUGCAGAUUCUGUGUGGGGGUUCAAAUCCCCCCUUCGGCA